This 253-nucleotide ribosomal RNA is filed under the name uncultured bacterium. Its description in RNAcentral is "partial 16S ribosomal RNA". It matches the Rfam family "Bacterial small subunit ribosomal RNA", at positions 524 to 776 of the family's 1533-position model. The record is from RNAcentral.
UACAGAGACUGCAAGCGUUAUUCGGAUUCACUGGGCGUAAAGGGUGCGCAGGCGGUCGGGUGUGUCAGAUGUGAAAUCCCGAGGCUUAACCUCGGAACUGCGUCUGAAACUACUCGACUAGAGUACUGGAGAGGGUAACGGAAUUCACGGUGUAGCAGUGAAAUGCGUAGAUAUCGUGAGGAACACCAGAGGCGAAGGCGGUUACCUGGACAGUUACUGACGCUCAGGCACGAAAGCAUGGGGAGCAAAAGGG